CUCUAGGUAGCUUAUUAAAGCGUGGACCUUUUAAGCCCACGAUGGAUAAUUUUUCCCCCAGAGU
RNAcentral lists this transfer RNA (64 nucleotides) under Phelsuma laticauda (broad-tailed day gecko). Its description in RNAcentral is "tRNA-Lys". Lineage: Eukaryota; Metazoa; Chordata; Lepidosauria; Squamata; Gekkonidae. The record is from RNAcentral.